UGUAGAGGAGAAAGCGCUGGUAACCCUGGCCCAUCUCUUUCAGCAUGAUUCCCCCUGGGCAUGAGCUGGAGAAGAGGUCUGUUCUCAUGUCAGGCCGGCCUGUCAGGAACAUGAGAGGACAGACGCAAAACCAAGCUGAGUCGGGCCUAGUAGUGCAGGGCCAUGAUCCCAGCUGCUCAGGAAGCUGAGGCAGGAGGAUUUCACAUUCAAGGCCUGCCUGGGCUAUAGGCAUGGAUUAGCCACAGCACUGGGGCCUCCCCCGCUCUUCCGGAUGCAACCACUCUACAGUGUACCCUGCAUGUCCAGCGACUCUGAGGCGUUCAGAGGAGAGCUGAGCCCUACAGUAGAAACCUGUAUCUGUAUCUGAAUUGGAGCUCUGCUGUGUUGUGAAGCACCGAGGAAAAGUGACUUCA
Peromyscus californicus insignis is the source of this 413-nucleotide long non-coding RNA. RefSeq lists it as uncharacterized. The transcript is spliced from 2 exons. The record is from RefSeq and is a predicted model, not a curated record. Lineage: Eukaryota; Metazoa; Chordata; Mammalia; Rodentia; Cricetidae.